This 25-nucleotide non-coding RNA is filed under the name Rattus norvegicus (Norway rat). Lineage: Eukaryota; Metazoa; Chordata; Mammalia; Rodentia; Muridae. The record is from RNAcentral.
UGUUCUAAAGAUGCUGCCACCCCUC